UGUUUUUUACCAGCACGACGAUUAUGACCUCAAUUAUUACCGAUAUUCUUAAUGUUGGGGCAGGCUGGUAAGCGAAAGUUUUCAAAAAAAGGCCUGUAUCCCACCAGAUACAGGCCUUUUUUUA
This is a regulatory RNA element of Vibrio rumoiensis 1S-45, 124 nucleotides long. The record is from Rfam. NCBI's taxonomy places the organism in Bacteria, Pseudomonadati, Pseudomonadota, Gammaproteobacteria, Vibrionales, Vibrionaceae.